Long non-coding RNA from Peromyscus californicus insignis, 2553 nucleotides. RefSeq lists it as uncharacterized. The record is from RefSeq and is a predicted model, not a curated record. Lineage: Eukaryota; Metazoa; Chordata; Mammalia; Rodentia; Cricetidae. The transcript is spliced from 3 exons.
GUGACUGAUAUGGCCAGGAUUCUUUAUGUGAUUUGUCAGGUAUCUCAGGAGGGGUCAGGCUGGUAGCUGACAGACACUCUGCUCAGUGGCUAACUUGUGCAGGGUGUAGGGCAUAGUAUCCCAGGAGCUCACCUGGGAUUGGUGUCUUCCCAGGGCUGCUCAGCUGAGAGCAUCUUCCCAUGACUCUGAGAGCAGCUCCUAGAGGUACCACUUCUACAGUGCCCACACCUGCCUCUAGCCGUCUUUCUAUCCAUGUCACCAGCUUCAAAUGCAUGCAUGUCUGCUGCCUUCAGAGAAGCUAUAGAACACUCAGCCUCCCCAGCCCACUUCUGCACCCCACAUUCAUUGACAUUAUGCUUUUAAAUGGCUCCCUGGGGAAUUCUGCACCAUGUUUCAGCAGCACUAAGACAGUGGCAUUGACCUGAGCAGAUGGAGAGAGAGAAGUUGUUAUGAACAGUAGGUAUGGCCUCAGGACCUUUUCCACCUUUACCCACUUUACUGUGUAUCAGAACUGUAGUAACAGGUUAAAGGUCACAAUUCAAAUGAAAGCAUGGCUUUCCUGUGGUAGAGAAACACAGAGGAAUGGAUGUCUGGAAUGGGAACACUUAGAAAUCCUUGGGGCCCUGGGGGUAGGUGUCCUUGCUCCUAUGUUUAGGGCAAGAGGGUCAAGUCUUUGCUUGACCUUGAAGAGACACCUGGUCAGUGGGCAGCCAGGGCUAGUGUCCACAGUGUCCUCAUAUGUCUCACAUUUCUGGGUCAUAGCUAGUGCAGGGCAGAAGACUGAGAGGCGGGUGUGGACAUGGGUAACACAUGAACAACUCUCUAGAAGACAUGGGGUUUAAUGGGUGGGAUGCCAUGUGUCCCUCUCAGAUAAUGAUUUCCUAAUGAGACAUUAGUGUUGUGGAAUAUUUGUUUAAACCAGGCAAAGAUGUCUCACAUUUGUUCACGCUAUGUAAAGACGUGUUGCAUUUGCAUUAAUAGAAUAAAACUAACGUGGGCCCAGAGAUGUGGGGUCAGCAACUGGUUGACCGGAAGUAGCAGGGAGGAGCUUAAUGUGGGUGUUGUUUUAGCUGGGGCAGUGUGGAAGUGGGUAGCUUCUGGGAUGCCAGCGAAGAGUUAGUCAGUUGCUAUUCUAAAUCUCUGAGCUCAUGAGUUUUCACCCUAGCCUUUGAAUCACCAUUGUUUGGGGCUACAGAAGUCCCCCCCCCAGGCUACGGCCUUAACAGCCAGCCGCUAGUAGUUUAAAUCGCAGCUGCUGUAAUGAGGUAAAACAACACAUUGGAAAGCUAUCCUUAGUACAGGCACACUGUAGUGCUCUCCACUGGGCACCAUCAUAUCCUACCCUCCUGACUAGGAAACUUCCCACACAGGGCCCAAGGAAGGGAACUCGACAGUCAAGAUAUCUACAGGAUGAUCCAGCUAAGGAAGGAUGCCCCAUAGGACCAUACAUCUGUGCCCCAGGAAGCCUUAGAAAUGCUAGCCGGCAUCAACUGCAGGAGGAGCCAUGCCUGAGUGAGGAUAAGGCGCCUGUCACGGGAUGGGAGUUUCUGAAGAGGACUCAGAGACAGUGAACUCUAGUGGCCAUGGACUGAAACCUCUGCAACCAGGAGCCCGAUGGACUCUUCCUCCUCUAAGUUGAUACCUUAGGGUGUCUUGUCACAGUGAAGGAUGGGAGCUCAGUGAAAUUCCAAGGACUACAGGGCAGAAAACAGCUGCCUCAGCUGCCCAAACAGCCCAUCAUCUGCAGCUACAAACUUCCUGGAGGGCAUGGCUACAACAUGACUUGUAGGUGGCUGACUUCUGGCUCCGAGGCUCUGGACCAGCGUGGCCUAGGAUCCCUGAAACCUUCAAGCAAGAGAGGAUAUGUUCUGAUGCACUCUCUUGGUUUAGGUACAGACACAGAGUAUGGGUGUCUGAUGGGCACUUACCCCCCAGGCAACCCUUAGCAUACUUGGACCACAGCUCUUGUCCUUCUGAGCCCCUAAAUGCUCCCUUCAAGCAGCUGUGAGGACUGUGACAAGUGGGUGCCCCCAUGGAGUCAUAGCCAGAUCCAGAUUGUCUGGAGCUGUAGGGCGGUGAGGUCUGGGAGGCUGCCUCCAGAAUUUUGGGAUCCCAGAGUUGCUGCUCCUUCAUCAUAUGUCAUGCAUGAGGCAGGGGAUGAUUUUGGACAAGGUUUUCAGCAAGGUCAGUUUCAUUUAUUUCAUUCCUUCUAAGUCAGUUCUCCCAGUGAGAGCCUCUGCAAGGACAUUCUGACAGACUCAAGGAUGAAUGUGAAUACCUCAGGCUAGAGCCUCUAUAGAUAACCUGUGUGUGAACAUUGGGGCCCACGGCAAAAUCUUUUGUAUGAGCCAGUUCCUAUGAGCUUAAGUUCCUGGGCCUGUGGCUUCCAGACCAUCCUUCCCAAGCCUGGCUCUGAUUGGUGCCCUGGUGCUGGGCUUGGACGGACUGGCAUGUGCUCCCAGACUCUGAGGAUGCUGGAGGGAGGGCACAGAAAAUGUCAGCUGUUCUACAGACAGGGGGCAUUCUACUUCCCGGAGGUCCUGGGAUACUUGU